GCCUCAGUGGUGUAAAAGAAAGCGCGGAUGAGCGGAUAUCUGUAAGUGCGGGUUCGAGUCCCGCCUGAGGUU
RNAcentral lists this transfer RNA (72 nucleotides) under Dictyocaulus viviparus (bovine lungworm). It matches the Rfam family "tRNA". Rfam says of the family: Transfer RNA (tRNA) molecules are approximately 80 nucleotides in length. Their secondary structure includes four short double-helical elements and three loops (D, anti-codon, and T loops). Further hydrogen bonds mediate the characteristic L-shaped molecular structure. tRNAs have two regions of fundamental functional importance: the anti-codon, which is responsible for specific mRNA codon recognition, and the 3' end, to which the tRNAs corresponding amino acid is attached (by aminoacyl-tRNA synthetases). tRNAs cope with the degeneracy of the genetic code in two manners: having more than one tRNA (with a specific anti-codon) for a particular amino acid; and 'wobble' base-pairing, i.e. permitting non-standard base-pairing at the 3rd anti-codon position. Lineage: Eukaryota; Metazoa; Nematoda; Chromadorea; Rhabditida; Metastrongylidae. The record is from Rfam by way of RNAcentral.